This 109-nucleotide small nuclear RNA is filed under the name Panthera tigris altaica (Amur tiger). Lineage: Eukaryota; Metazoa; Chordata; Mammalia; Carnivora; Felidae. The record is from RNAcentral.
GUGCUCGCUUCGACAGCACGUAUACUAAGAUUGGAAAGAUACAGAAAAGCUUACCAUGUCCCCUGUGCAAGGAUGACACAUGCAAAUUCCGGAAGCUUUCCACAUUUAA